This 1349-nucleotide ribosomal RNA is filed under the name Escherichia coli. RNAcentral describes it as "partial 23S ribosomal RNA". It matches the Rfam family "Bacterial large subunit ribosomal RNA", at positions 296 to 1653 of the family's 2925-position model. Lineage: Bacteria; Pseudomonadati; Pseudomonadota; Gammaproteobacteria; Enterobacterales; Enterobacteriaceae. The record is from RNAcentral.
AGCAGCCCAGAGCCUGAAUCAGUAUGUGUGUUAGUGGAAGCGUCUGGAAAGGCGCGCGAUACAGGGUGACAGCCCCGUACACAAAAAUGCACAUGCUGUGAGCUCGAUGAGUAGGGCGGGACACGUGGUAUCCUGUCUGAAUAUGGGGGGACCAUCCUCCAAGGCUAAAUACUCCUGACUGACCGAUAGUGAACCAGUACCGUGAGGGAAAGGCGAAAAGAACCCCGGCGAGGGGAGUGAAAAAGAACCUGAAACCGUGUACGUACAAGCAGUGGGAGCACGCUUAGGCGUGUGACUGCGUACCUUUUGUAUAAUGGGUCAGCGACUUAUAUUCUGUAGCAAGGUUAACCGAAUAGGGGAGCCGAAGGGAAACCGAGUCUUAACUGGGCGUUAAGUUGCAGGGUAUAGACCCGAAACCCGGUGAUCUAGCCAUGGGCAGGUUGAAGGUUGGGUAACACUAACUGGAGGACCGAACCGACUAAUGUUGAAAAAUUAGCGGAUGACUUGUGGCUGGGGGUGAAAGGCCAAUCAAACCGGGAGAUAGCUGGUUCUCCCCGAAAGCUAUUUAGGUAGCGCCUCGUGAAUUCAUCUCCGGGGGUAGAGCACUGUUUCGGCAAGGGGGUCAUCCCGACUUACCAACCCGAUGCAAACUGCGAAUACCGGAGAAUGUUAUCACGGGAGACACACGGCGGGUGCUAACGUCCGUCGUGAAGAGGGAAACAACCCAGACCGCCAGCUAAGGUCCCAAAGUCAUGGUUAAGUGGGAAACGAUGUGGGAAGGCCCAGACAGCCAGGAUGUUGGCUUAGAAGCAGCCAUCAUUUAAAGAAAGCGUAAUAGCUCACUGGUCGAGUCGGCCUGCGCGGAAGAUGUAACGGGGCUAAACCAUGCACCGAAGCUGCGGCAGCGACGCUGAUGCGUUGUUGGGUAGGGGAGCGUUCUGUAAGCCUGCGAAGGUGUGCUGUGAGGCAUGCUGGAGGUAUCAGAAGUGCGAAUGCUGACAUAAGUAACGAUAAAGCGGGUGAAAAGCCCGCUCGCCGGAAGACCAAGGGUUCCUGUCCAACGUUAAUCGGGGCAGGGUGAGUCGACCCCUAAGGCGAGGCCGAAAGGCGUAGUCGAUGGGAAACAGGUUAAUAUUCCUGUACUUGGUGUUACUGCGAAGGGGGGACGGAGAAGGCUAUGUUGGCCGGGCGACGGUUGUCCCGGUUUAAGCGUGUAGGCUGGUUUUCCAGGCAAAUCCGGAAAAUCAAGGCUGAGGCGUGAUGACGAGGCACUGCGGUGCUGAAGCAACAAAUGCCCUGCUUCCAGGAAAAGCCUCUAAGCAUCAGGUAACAUCAAAUCGUACCCCAAA